AGGACGAACGCUGGCGGCGUGCUUAACACAUGCAAGUCGAACGGUGAAACACCCUUCGGGGUGUGGAUCAGUGGCGAACGGGUGAGUAACACGUGGGCAACCUGCCCCUGACUCCGGAAUAACCUCGGGAAACCGAAGCUAAUACCGGAUACGACUUCGAGCGGCAUCGCUCGCGGUGGAAAGUUUUUCGGUCAGGGAUGGGCCCGCGGCCUAUCAGCUUGUUGGUGGGGUAACGGCCUACCAAGGCGACUACGGGUAGCCGGCCUGAGAGGGCGACCGGCCACGACUGGGACUGAGAUACGGCCCAGACUCCUACGGGAGGCAGCAGUGGGGAAUAUUGCACAAUGGGCGAAAGCCUGAUGCAGCGACGCCGCGUGAGGGAUGACGGCCUGGUUGUAAACCUACUUCGUACAGGAGUGAAGCCUCGGUGACAGUACCUGUAGAAGAAGACACGGACAACUACGUGCCGAGACGAGACCGC
Molecule: ribosomal RNA, 481 nt
Filed under: uncultured soil bacterium
Lineage: Bacteria
Description: bacterial SSU rRNA
Rfam family: Bacterial small subunit ribosomal RNA
Source: RNAcentral